AAUGAACGCUGGCGGCAUGCCUAACACAUGCAAGUCGAACGAAGCCUUCGGGCUUAGUGGCGCACGGGUGCGUAACGCGUGGGAACCUACCAUCAGGUUCGGAAUAACAGUUAGAAAUGACUGCUAAUACCGGAUAAUGUCUUCGGACCAAAGAUUUAUCGCCUUUUGAUGGGCCCGCGUUGGAUUAGCUAGUUGGUGGGGUAAAGGCCUACCAAGGCGACGAUCCAUAGCUGGUCUGAGAGGAUGAUCAGCCACACUGGGACUGAGACACGGCCCAGACUCCUACGGGAGGCAGCAGUGGGGAAUAUUGGACAAUGGGCGAAAGCCUGAUCCAGCAAUGCCGCGUGAGUGAUGAAGGCCUUAGGGUUGUAAAGACUCUUUUACCAGGGAUGAUAAUGACAGUACCUGGAGAAUAAGCUCCGGCUAACUCCGUG
This 434-nucleotide ribosomal RNA is filed under the name uncultured bacterium. RNAcentral's name for it is "bacterial SSU rRNA". It matches the Rfam family "Bacterial small subunit ribosomal RNA", at positions 29 to 507 of the family's 1533-position model. The record is from RNAcentral.